CUUUUUUAUUUUUCUGAGCUCUAAUUACAGAUUUAAUUUUCUUACAGUGUACUGCAUAAGACAUUAGGAUCUGUCCUGAGUCCCAAGCACCAGGUUUAUUUGUUCUGCAACUUCACAAUUCAGGGAAGGACAACUUCUUUGAUAGGAAUUCUCCUCCUUCCCCCAUCUCCAAGAGUCAUCAGAACCAGUGCCUGAAAAAGACAGCUGAGUAAAGCUGUCUUCAUCUUCGCUGACCUAAAGAGCUAAAUCUCCGAGUAUAUGCAGUGUAUUCAGAGCUCUGAAGAAUUACUUUGCUCUGGAUAGACUUCUAAUUUAAGUGGAUGGUAACUACAGGAAAAAAAAUGUGGAAGUCUCAUCCUCAUAAUCUUGUUUUCACAUCCAGUAACCUCUGGACGUAACUCUAACAUUACCCUCAACAAAAAAGAAGAAAGAGAAAGAGAAAGUAUGUGUAUAUUCUGUAUAUUACUGUGAUUUGUGCUGACUAUAUGCAUAUAAAUGUAAUCAAAAUACAUGUAAAAUAUGUGUGAAUGUUUGUGUUUUAAGUGAACUAAAGGAUGUGUUAUUUUGUUUCAGUAAAGAGACUGAAUUUGGAAA
This 594-nucleotide long non-coding RNA is filed under the name Vulpes vulpes (red fox). Its description in RNAcentral is "lncRNA (ENSVVUG00000005822.1)". The record is from RNAcentral. Lineage: Eukaryota; Metazoa; Chordata; Mammalia; Carnivora; Canidae.